UAGGCAAGGGGAGCAAGAUGGAGUCACAGACACAGGUUCUCAUUUCCCUGCUGCUCUGCGUGUCUGGUGCCUGUGCGGACAUUGUGAUGACCCAGUCUCCAUCCUCCAUCGCUGUGUCAUUAGGAGAGAAGGUCACCAUCAGAUGCAAGUCCAGUCAUAGUCUUUUCAACAGUAACUACAACGAAAACUACUUGAACUGGUACCAGCAGAAAACAGGGCAGUCUCCUAAACGGUUAAUCUACUGGGCAUCCACUCGGGAAACUAGGGUCACUGAUCGCUUCAUAGGCAGUGGAUCUGAGACAGAUUUCACUCUCACCAUCAGUAGUGUCCAGGCUGAAGAUCUGGCAGAUUAUUACUGUAUGCAAGCUAAUGAGGAACCUUCCACAGUGCUUCAGCCUCCAACAAAAACUUCUGAGAAUUUCAACAGCUGCCU
Molecule: non-coding RNA, 433 nt
Organism: Alexandromys fortis (reed vole)
Lineage: Eukaryota; Metazoa; Chordata; Mammalia; Rodentia; Cricetidae
Source: the annotation of a RefSeq genome assembly